Molecule: unclassified non-coding RNA, 3365 nt
Filed under: Acanthaster planci (crown-of-thorns starfish)
Lineage: Eukaryota; Metazoa; Echinodermata; Asteroidea; Valvatida; Acanthasteridae
Description: sID1 transmembrane family member 1-like, transcript variant X1
Source: RNAcentral
AAUUACCCUAGCCUAGUGCAUUGCUGAAUGGUGGUGGUGUCUUUACAAAUGUGGCCAGAUUGGCAUGUUGCAGUAUUGGAUCACUCAUCUUCAUCCCUGGAGUGCUGGCAUGCUUUUUUCCCGCAGAUAAUCUGCGGGUGCUGAGCGAUGCAAUCAAUGGUGUACUGUUUCAAAACAAUGACAGAUUUCCUCCGCUAAUGUCAGCACUCUGUGCUGACAGCAUACAAAAUUUGAUUGGCAAUUCCCUGCAGCUCAUUCUUUUGUUCCAAGUACGAUCUUUUGUUACAAGGCCCAGGCUUUUGUCCAAUUUCAGGCACCCGGCCAUGUUACAGUGUCAAGGUCUCUGGUACUGGGAACCGACACUAAGUGGUUAAUAACCUUUUUUUUUUAUUUUGUUACAACAGUCCAAGGCCAUCCGUAUAACAACAAGCAGCCGGAAUGCAGAUACAAAUUAUCCUGUCUUAUUUGUUGUCAGACAACAGAAGAGUGUGCUCUCCUGGGCUGUGCCAUUUAUUAUACAGUCAGAGUAUACAUAUGAUGAAGUGAGCCACACUCUUUGUCCAGAAAAUGGAUUUACUCCAACUACUGCUCAUAAUAUCAGCAUUGAUGUGACCACAGCUUCCAUUAAGCAGGUUCAUUUCACAUUGUCAAUAAGUAUAAUCAGCGAUUUUGAACUCAGGACUCACUUGCCCAAGACAUUUGUGGUUAGUCCAUCAAAUCCAAAGUAUUAUACAUAUAGGUUCCCUCCAGACACUGAGUUCAUGAGAGUCAAAGCAAUAUCCACAUCAGAUGUCUGUACUGUCAUCUCAGUCCAGCCUGCCAAGUGCCCUGUGUAUGACCAGCAUCGCAAUGUUGAGUUUCUUGGUCAGUUUCAAACUGUUACAAAGCAAGGAGCCAUCACAGUGCAAAAAACAAAUUAUCCAGGUGGUUAUUUCUUUGUGGUUGUAGUGGUGCAGCCAACAGAUAAAGACUGUCUCGGAAAAGCUGUACACUUGGUGCCUAUACAAAACAUGACCUCCCAGUUUGUGUUACACAGUGACAAAAAUCGGAGCAAAGAGAUAACAAUAACUGUAGAAACGAUUUUACCAUUAUCUGAAUACUGGAAACCCAUUGUGACCACUGUGGCUGUGCUGUUGUCCUUUUACGUGAUAACUGGCUUCAUCAUACUUGUUCAAAGCAAAAGGAAAAAGGCACAAGAUUCUGAAAAUCUUGAGGAACAGGUCCGUAUAUUAGGUGAAGAAGAAAACAGAAACAGCAUUCCUUUUGCACAAAACCAAACUGCAGGCUCUUCAAAAUAUGGUACAGCAGGUGAUGUUUCUGGAAAUUCAGAAAUGAGAAGUCAUCCUCUGAGUCAAAUACCAGAACACGAGGCUGAUCUUGAUGAAGAUGACAUUGAUAUGUUGGAGGAUGUGAAUGAAGAAAAGGAAAUCUACAGAACUAAGACAGCCAUUUGUGUGGGUGAUCUUGCUCGUAAGAAACCCAAAACCUUGGAUCGCAAGUACAAGCUGUACUACUGGAAUAUCUUGACUAUUGCUGUAUUCUAUGCUUUGCCAGCUGUCCAGCUUGUCAUGACAUAUCAAGCAGUACUGAAUAUGUCAGGAAAUGAAGAUAUGUGCUACUAUAACUUCCUGUGCGCAAUGCCCCUUGGACAGAUUAGUGCUUUUAACAAUGUUUUUAGUAACAUUGGAUAUGUCAUGUUGGGCAUCCUGUACUUAAUGAUUGUGUGGAAGAAACAUCAUAUUCAUAAACAGGCUAUGACAUCAGACAGUGAGAAAGCAAAGACUUGUGGUAUACCGAAGCACUUUGGCAUGUUUUAUGCUUUGGGUAUUGCACUUGUCAUGGAGGGUGUGUUGAGUGCCAGUUACCAUGUCUGCCCUAACUCCUCCAACUACCAGUUUGAUACGGCCUUCAUGUACAUCAUAGCUGGCUUAGGAAUGUUGAUGUUGUAUCAACAAAGACAUCCUGAUGUCAAUGCCAAUGCCUAUGCAGCUUUUGCCACCUUUGCUGCUGUCAUUUUUGUUGCUUUUUUGGGGGUGGUGUUUGUAUCAAUUUACUUCUAUAUUGCCUUUGCGGUACUUCAUGUGAUCACCUGCUUAGCUGUUAGUACACAGAUCUACUACAUGGGAACAUGGAAAUUAGACCUUGGGAUGUUCAAAAGGGCCCUCAUUAUUAUUCGCACUGAACUCUGCAAGUGUGCCAAACCAGUUUAUAUUGAUCGAAUGAUUGUGCUCACUGUAGCAAACGCCAUCAAUUGGUCAAUAAAACAGCUGCAUUGUCUCGUGAAAGUAAUGGCCCAUGCUUGUUGAUGAGGUUUUAUGAUGGCCAUGAUGUAUGGCAUAUUCUGUCAGCUGCAGCACUUUUCCUGUCAUUUUUGUUGGUACUUCUGAUGGAUGAGGAUCUGGAUGGGAAAAAUAGGAUGAAGAUACCUGUAUUUUAAAGUUGUUAAGCACUGCUUUUUGUCUCUUUCAAGAUAAAUUUAAAAAUAUAUAUAUUGUUUUAUUGUUAAAAUGAUGCAACCAGUCUGAUAUAUCUAUGGAGAAUACAAUGGAUGAGCACAUUUAAGGUUAUGACAAAAUCAAGGGAACCAUGGCUUGAACAUGGGCUGUGUGCAUUUCGAAUGUUUGUGGGAGGAACUUCAGCUGGGAAAACAUCCCCCGCAGUGCAUCACUGUAUUUUACUGUUUCAUUAAUGUAUGAUUUUGAAUUGAAAAGUGUACGAGUCUGUCCCUUUUUUUCUAAAAUUCACAUUGAGAAUAUUACCAUAUUCAUUACUAAAUUGUUCGUGUGAAUGUACUACAAUGCAAUGAAUUUGAAGUAAAUUGAUAUGGGGCUGUUGACUUUAGUUUUCCAUAAAUUUGCACUUAUGGUGUAGAAGAAUUCAGGAGGAAUAGACUGUAGCCCUAGUGCUUUACAGAGCUGUUUAUUUAAUAAACUGCUGUGAAGCACUAGCUAACAUUGUGCACCCACCUUUACACAGAUCAAGGUUCAAACUUGGAAAAAAAAUUGUCACACGUGUAAAUUGUUGGAUAUCAAUAAUACAGACGGUAUGGCUCAUCAUUUGCAAUUAGUGUGUAAAACUAUAUAUUAAAGCCCUGGUUGUUUGUGAAAAUUGGUCUGAUUGGGACAACGACAUUCCUUAUGUUUUAAUGGGUUAAAGGGCUGACCCUAGUAGCUUUGUGUUAUUUUAACGUUGCCAAUCUUUCAUUUGCACUGACUCUAGUCCUGUAGUUGAAUGCACAUUUUCAGUAGAGUUUCAGAGUUUCAAAGCCAUUUGCAAAAAGCUUCCGAAAUGGUUCCAUAUGGAAUCGAACGUCUCAUAUAGAGCGCCCCCAUUCCGUGUAAAACAGGCAGGCCAACGUAAAAGUC